Molecule: ribosomal RNA, 484 nt
Filed under: uncultured bacterium
Lineage: Bacteria
Description: partial 16S ribosomal RNA
Rfam family: Bacterial small subunit ribosomal RNA
Source: RNAcentral
AUUGAACGCUGGCGGCAGGCCUAACACAUGCAAGUCGAGCGGAUGAAGGGAGCUUGCUCCUGGAUUCAGCGGCGGACGGGUGCGUAAUGCCUAGGAAUCUGCCUGGUAGUGUGGGAUAACGUCCGGAAACGGGCGCUAAUACCGCAUACGUCCUGAGGUAGAAAGUGGGGGCUCUUCGGACCUCACGCUAUCAGAUGAGCCUAGUUCGGAUUAGCUAGUUGUUGGGUUAAAGGCCUACCACGGCGACGCUCCGUAACUGGUCUGAGAGGAUGAUCAGUCACACUGGGACUGCGACGCGGUCCAGACUCCUACGGGAGGCAGCAGUGGUGAAUAUUGGACAAUGGGCGAAAGCCUGAUCCAGCCAUGCCGCGUGUGUGAAGAAGGUCUUCUGAUUCUAAAGCACUUUAAGUUGGGAGGAAGGGCAGUAAGUUAAUACCUUGCUGUUUUGACGUUACCAACAGAAUAAGCACCGGCUAACUUCGUG